RNAcentral lists this non-coding RNA (103 nucleotides) under bovine gut metagenome. RNAcentral's name for it is "TPP riboswitch (THI element)". It matches the Rfam family "TPP riboswitch aptamer (THI element)", at positions 7 to 92 of the family's 105-position model. Rfam says of the family: Vitamin B(1) in its active form thiamin pyrophosphate (TPP) is an essential coenzyme that is synthesised by coupling of pyrimidine and thiazole moieties in bacteria. The previously detected thiamin-regulatory element, thi box was extended, resulting in a new, highly conserved RNA secondary structure, the THI element, which is widely distributed in eubacteria and also occurs in some archaea. The record is from RNAcentral.
UCUGCUGGGGGAGCCGUGUGGCUGAGAUUUAUCCGUCCUGAGAAGGACCGGAUAUAGACCCUUUUUACUUGAUCCAGGUAAUACUGGCGUAAGGAAGCAUACA